This is a non-coding RNA of Paramuricea clavata, 507 nucleotides long. NCBI's taxonomy places the organism in Eukaryota, Metazoa, Cnidaria, Anthozoa, Malacalcyonacea, Plexauridae. The record is from the annotation of a GenBank genome assembly.
AAAAUAUGCAUUGUGAGAGGAUUUUUUGUCCUCUUUUACUGGUUUGUUCAUGGAAAAUAAAGUGUUUCUUGAAAGAUUAAGUUGUACGCAACGAUAUAACGACUUAAUCGCAUGAAAACGUGCGAAGAAUUUUUAUUUACAAAUGGGCGACAAGUGGAAAUGUUUCACUCAUUGUCAGAGUUUCAGAAGCAGGGUACAGCAGUAUGGAAACAAGGAAGUGUUCAUAUUUUACUCUUGAUAGAAGCUGAGUUGUUGUUGUUUCCACAGGUAUGUUCAAUAAUUUGUUUGUCCUUCCUCAUCUGGAAUAAUAAGUGUCUUAAAAUACAUAUUUUGAUGAAAAUGACACAUAUUCCUCUUGCAAUUUCGUAAAAACUGGCCGUUGCCUUUAGUUAGAAAAUAUAUUUUAUGAAAGUUAAAGGUGAUCUACAGUCCGAUCUGCGCAUGUGCACAAAUGAGCCCACUUUUUAUGAUACAAACAGUUUAACUAUGUUUUGAGUUCUUGAAAAG